This 497-nucleotide ribosomal RNA is filed under the name uncultured bacterium. RNAcentral's name for it is "partial 16S ribosomal RNA". It matches the Rfam family "Bacterial small subunit ribosomal RNA", at positions 28 to 507 of the family's 1533-position model. The record is from RNAcentral.
GACGAACGCUGGCGGCGUGCCUAAUACAUGCAAGUCGAACGCUGAAGGAAGGAGCUUGCUCUUUCUGGAUGAGUUGCGAACGGGUGAGUAACGCGUAGGUAACCUGCCUGGUAGCGGGGGAUAACUAUUGGAAACGAUAGCUAAUACCGCAUAAAAUUGAUUAUUGCAUGAUAGUCAAUUAAAAGGUGCAACUGCACCACUACCAGAUGGACCUGCGUUGUAUUAGCUAGUUGGUGGGGUAACGGCUCACCAAGGCGACGAUACAUAGCCGACCUGAGAGGGUGAUCGGCCACACUGGGACUGAGACACGGCCCAGACUCCUACGGGAGGCAGCAGUAGGGAAUCUUCGGCAAUGGACGGAAGUCUGACCGAGCAACGCCGCGUGAGUGAAGAAGGUUUUCGGAUCGUAAAGCUCUGUUGUAAGAGAAGAAAGAGUGUGAGAGUGGAAAGUUCACACUGUGACGGUAUCUUACCAGAAAGGGACGGCUAACUACGUG